RNAcentral lists this ribosomal RNA (439 nucleotides) under uncultured bacterium. RNAcentral's name for it is "bacterial SSU rRNA". It matches the Rfam family "Bacterial small subunit ribosomal RNA", at positions 355 to 787 of the family's 1533-position model. The record is from RNAcentral.
UAGGGAAUUUUCGUCAAUGGGGGAGGACCCUGACGAGCAAUGCCGCGUGUGUGAAGAAGGUCUUCGGAUCGUAAAGCACUGUUGUAAGUGAAGAAUGCCAUAUAGAGGAAAUGCUAUGUGGGUGACGGUAGCUUACCAGAAAGCCACGGCUAACUACGUGCCAGCAGCCGCGGUAAUACGUAGGUGGCAAGCGUUAUCCGGAAUCAUUGGGCGUAAAGGGUGCGUAGGUGGCACGAUAAGUCUGAAGUAAAAGGCAACAGCUCAACUGUUGUAUGCUUUGGAAACUGUCGAGCUAGAGUGCAGAAGAGGGCGAUGGAAUUCCAUGUGUAGCGGUAAAAUGCGUAGAUAUAUGGAGGAACACCAGUGGCGAAGGCGGUCGCCUGGUCUGUAACUGACACUGAUGCACGAAAGCGUGGGGAGCAAAUAGGAUUAGAUACCC